UGUGUGUGUGUGUGUGUGUGUGUAUGUGAUAAUAUUGAAAUAGAAAAAAAAAUCAAUAACGCCAUUAUCACACGCACACACACACACACACACGCA
Molecule: non-coding RNA, 96 nt
Organism: Cinara cedri
Lineage: Eukaryota; Metazoa; Arthropoda; Insecta; Hemiptera; Aphididae
Source: the annotation of a GenBank genome assembly